This 481-nucleotide ribosomal RNA is filed under the name uncultured bacterium. RNAcentral's name for it is "partial 16S ribosomal RNA". It matches the Rfam family "Bacterial small subunit ribosomal RNA", at positions 28 to 523 of the family's 1533-position model. The record is from RNAcentral.
AAUGAACGUUGGCGGCGUGGAUUAGGCAUGCAAGUCGAGCGCGAACCACGCAAGGGGUGAAAGCGGCGAAAGGGAGAGUAACGCGUGGGUAUCUGCCCUCGGGACUGGGAUAGCUGCGGGAAACUGCAGGUAAUACCAGAUGACGUCCCCGGCCCACAGGUGUGAUUCCGACUGAGGAGGAGCCCGCGUCCUAGUAGCUAGUUGGUAGGGUAAUGGCCUAACAAGGUAAUGAUGGGUACUGGGUGUGAGAGCACGACCCAGUCUCACUGGGACUGAGACACUGCCCAGACACCUACGGGUGGCUGCAGUCGAGAAUCUUCGGCAAUGGGCGAAAGCCUGACCGAGCGACGCCGCGUGUGGGAGGAAGGCCGUCGGGUUGUAAACCGCUGUCAGAGGGGAGGAAUGGGCGGAGUGUAAUCGCUUCGUUUUGACCUAUCCUCAGAGGAAGUACGGGCUAAGUUCGUGCCAGCCGCCGCCGUAA